Molecule: long non-coding RNA, 2380 nt
Organism: Gymnodraco acuticeps
Lineage: Eukaryota; Metazoa; Chordata; Actinopteri; Perciformes; Bathydraconidae
Exons: 2
Source: RefSeq, a predicted model, not a curated record
AUCACGUGGUCAUAUUUACCAAUACAGCGAGUAAAUCAAUCCUGCCUUGCUCUCUUUUUUUUCCUCGUCAGGUUUAAUUUAGCUUUUCAUUUCACAAAUGAUAAAAAAGGCCCCAUCAUAUAUGACUGGAGGGAGAGUGCAAUCGCUCAAAUGAAUUCAAAUGAUUAUGUUUUCUAUUUUUUUCAUUUUCGGGUGGUGCAACAAUGCAAGCAGCUUCAUCCUGCGGUUCUGAAACCAGAUCUUGACCUGCCUGUCGGUCAGGUUGACGCCCCUGCUGAUCUCUAGGCGGCGCUCUCGGGUCAGAUACAUGUUGAAGAGAAACUCCUUCUCCAACUCCAAGGUCUGGUGCUUUGUGUAGGGACAUCUUUUCUUUCUUCCACUUUUUGCAGUCAACCAGUUGCUUGUUGGAGGGGCACUCUUGCAAUCUGUAGAGAUUGAAAACUAGUUAGUGGUUUAUUUUGAACAAAGUCUCACCUGCUCAUUUUGAUUUGACCUCUGGGAAAUAACACACAAUAUACAUGUUUUCCCAGAAAAAGAGAAUCAAAUCAAAUUUCUUUCCAAUUGAAAUGGAAAUUAAAUUAUCACUUUUGAUUGUGAUCAAACCACACUGACCUCAUCUUUAUAAAGCUUUAAACAUGUGCAGACCAUCUGUUUAAUUACAUUAAUGCUUCAAAUGCAUUAACACUUUAUAUCAUUGUUACAAUCAUCCAUUUUAAAGAUAAUAUCUAACAGUGUUAUGGUUAUCUUCUAACUAAAGUCACAGACUCAUCUAUCUAGAAUUACACAGAUGCAAAUGCACCAAUUGUAGUUUCCACGAGUAAAGACAUUUUGCAAUAAUGCAAACAUUUAAACUAUUCUUAGAUUCUUUUUUUUACUUUUAAAUCAGUGCAACAUGCAGAACAUAAAGCAAUACAAUGGGAAAACGUUUUUUUUAAGUGCACAUUAUAAUUUCAAUAGGAGGAAAGACUGACACACAGUCUGCAUGCUGCAUGGUAAAACCAUUCUCUGUUGCCCAUUACUGCAACCUGAGAAAGACUCUCAUUAAACAUUACGACUUUAGGGUUGUUUGUGUUUUAUACUUGGUUUUAUGAUGCUGAAGCCUUCACUGCAGCGCCACAAGAUAAAAGCUUUACUGUAGCCAACCCACCUUUCCCUUCUUUUAGCAGCUCAGGGCUGGACACUGGGGCUUCCAUGGAGCAGUUUUUCUCCCCGGAGCUGGACCUUGGAUCCGGGCUGUCUGCGGGGACCGGGGUCCUUGAGGUCUCGGGGUUUUGCGGUACACCCUCACUUUUCUUUUUCUCCUCUGCAAAAUUUGAAGGCGCCGAGGAGGACUGCGGUUUCGGGGUGACCCGGCUGAGCUGCACCAGUGUUGGGUUUGGACUCGGCGGCUCAUGGCAGUAGUUUUCCGGAUGUUUCCCAUUCGCAUAACUUUGGCUCAGUCUGAAAUAGCCCGGCACCGGGAUCUCGGGACCAUCGACAGGACAAGACUGGGAAAUAACGUUGGAAUAUGCAGGGACCUCUGUCGAGCUGACUUUUUGCUCUCUCUUUUCCGAGUACAUGCAGCAGUUACUCUCUUCCUUUAUGCUCUGUGAAAAUGUGCAGUUUGACAUCUGAGUGGACGGCUCUAAUCUGCAGGGUCUGUUCGGAUCAGUCCAGUUAUCUAUUUGAGGUAUGUACGAGUGGACAUUCAUGCCCAUAUUGUGGUGGUUGACUUCCCCUCUUUUGCCGAAAGACGGCAGGAGUCCACAGGUUUGCAUUCCGUAAGUUCCCAUUUCUGAGCCAGACGGCAUGUACAUGUUGCUGCUGGAGUAAAAGCUGUCCGACCUGCAAGCACCUAAUAAAGAGUCCACUAGAAAGGUGUUUGCCGCAGGAGAGCUACUGGGAAAGGACAUUUUGGGGGGUUAAGUUCUUAAGAGGAGAGAGAUGUCCUUUGUAAGAUGACAUAUCUAGGAAAAACAAUCUCCGUGUAAGUCAGGAUGCCUCCCGACCACAUGACAAGCCCACCAAUGAGAUUUGAAAAUGGCCUUGAGACGCAGCCUCCUCUCCCUGCACACACGCUCUGCUGCAGAUCAGACAUGGUCAACAGCGACCCCUACUACACGUACUUGAAAUUGGUUUGCAGACUUAACAGUGGCAGUUCAACCAAAACUGAAACAAUCACAUCUUUUAAAAAUGCAAUUUGCGAUCAGAAAAUAGUCCACUUUCAUGUAAAUGUUUCGUGUGCAAUAUAUAUAUGAAAUGUUUUCAAUGAGAUAAAUACUUGAAAAGGAUAUAUGCUUCUUUGUGGUAGAGCCAGAGGGAAAUGAAUGCAUGUGUACGUGUAAAAUGCUGCCUAUAUGUCGCAUAGAAGAGUUUUUAAAAAAUAAAUAAUAUAACCAUU